This 414-nucleotide ribosomal RNA is filed under the name uncultured microorganism. Its description in RNAcentral is "bacterial SSU rRNA". It matches the Rfam family "Archaeal small subunit ribosomal RNA", at positions 459 to 872 of the family's 1478-position model. The record is from RNAcentral.
CAGCCGCCGCGGUAAUACCGGCGGCCCGAGUGGCGGUCACUAUUAUUGGGCUUAAAGCGUCCGUAGCCGGGUUGGGAAGUCCUCCGGGAAAUCUGGCCGCUUAACGGUCAGAAUGCCGGAGGAUACUCCCAGCCUAGGGAGCGGGAGAGGCCGAGGGGAUUCCCGGAGGAGGGGAGAAAUCCUAUAAUCCCGGGAGGACCACCUGUGGCGAAGGCGCUCGGCUGGAACGCGUCCGACGGGGAGGGACGAAGGCCAGGGGAGCAAACCGGAUUAGAUACCCGGGUAGUCCUGGCUGUAAACGAUGCGGACUUUGUGUCGGACAAGCUAUGAGCUUGUCCGGUGCCGGAGGGAAACCGUUAAGUCCGCCGCCUGGGGAGUACGGCCGCAAGGCUGAAACUUAAAGGAAUUGGCGGG